CAGGACAGGAGUUAAGACCAGGACACAUCCCUGUGGUAGUGGACAUGUUGGCACGAACCAUCAAACAACCCUCCUUUCUGUGGUGACUCAGCUCCGGCAAUGCAACAGUCUCUGUCCUGUGAAAAAAGCUGUACGAAGCCAUAGAUCAGCAGAAUAUUCGCCAGCCAAUCUCCUUGGACCUGACCUCUUCUUGGCAGUGAAAGAUGGUGACCGACAGCUGUUCUCUGGAGCUCUGCACCACUAAAAGGGAUGAUGGGAAAGUGAUGCAGAGAGGGAGGCAGAAAAGGGUGGAAAGGAGGAAAUGAGCAGCCAUUAAAAGAUGAAACAUUGAAGAUUAGGGAUGGAAGGAAAGUGGAGACAGAGCUGUUAGACUGACUCCCUGUGGAGGGAGGAGGCCACAGAGGAGCCUCACUGCUGCAGCAUGGAUGAAUAUAGCCCAAGAUUAUGCUCAAUUAGAACAUUAACUGUAAUUGUUUAUGCAGUAACACUGCUAAUUGUUUCCGACAACACUAACCUAAUACGACUCUUGGUGGAUCCAUAGUACUACAGUUUAUGGUAGUCAGUC
Long non-coding RNA from Oncorhynchus gorbuscha (pink salmon), 565 nucleotides. RefSeq lists it as uncharacterized. NCBI's taxonomy places the organism in Eukaryota, Metazoa, Chordata, Actinopteri, Salmoniformes, Salmonidae. The transcript has 3 exons. The record is from RefSeq and is a predicted model, not a curated record.